GAAAUGCGAUAAGUAAUGUGAAUUGCAGAGUUUUGUGAAUCAUCGAAUCUUUGAACGCACAUUGCGCCCUUUGGUAUUCCUUAGGGCAUGCCUGUUCGAGCGUCAUCUAAACCUUCAAGCCCUGCUUGGUGUUGGGUGCCUGUCCCGCCUCCGCGCGCGGACUCACCUCAAAUCCAUUGGCGGCCCCCGCGUCGGCCACGAGCGCAGCAGAAACGCGAACUCGUGAGCACGUCCGGGCGGCUCCCAGAAGCUACACCCACCCAGUUUGACCUCGGAUCAGGUAGGGAUACCCGCUGAACUUAAGC
This 305-nucleotide unclassified non-coding RNA is filed under the name plant metagenome. RNAcentral's name for it is "partial contains 5.8S ribosomal RNA, internal transcribed spacer 2, and large subunit ribosomal RNA". The stretch from base 1 to 105 matches the Rfam family "5.8S ribosomal RNA", at positions 50 to 154 of the family's 154-position model. The record is from RNAcentral.